GAUGAACGCUGGCGGCGUGCCUAAUACAUGCAAGUCGAGCGAACGGACGAGAAGCUUGCUUCUCUGAUGUUAGCGGCGGACGGGUGAGUAACACGUGGAUAACCUACCUAUAAGACUGGGAUAACUUCGGGAAACCGGAGCUAAUACCGGAUAAUAUUUUGAACCGCAUGGUUCAAAAGUGAAAGACGGUCUUGCUGUCACUUAUAGAUGGAUCCGCGCUGCAUUAGCUAGUUGGUAAGGUAACGGCUUACCAAGGCAACGAUGCAUAGCCGACCUGAGAGGGUGAUCGGCCACACUGGAACUGAGGCACGGUCCAGACUCCUACGGGAGGCAGCAGUAGGGAAUCUUCCGCAAUGGGCGAAAGCCUGACGGAGCAACGCCGCGUGAGUGAUGAAGGUCUUCGGAUCGUAAAACUCUGUUAUUAGGGAAGAACAUAUGGUAAGUAACUGUGCACAUCUUGACGGUACCUAAUCAGAAAGCCACGGCUAACUACGUG
RNAcentral lists this ribosomal RNA (496 nucleotides) under uncultured bacterium. RNAcentral's name for it is "partial 16S ribosomal RNA". It matches the Rfam family "Bacterial small subunit ribosomal RNA", at positions 28 to 507 of the family's 1533-position model. The record is from RNAcentral.